This 497-nucleotide ribosomal RNA is filed under the name uncultured bacterium. RNAcentral describes it as "partial 16S ribosomal RNA". It matches the Rfam family "Bacterial small subunit ribosomal RNA", at positions 28 to 523 of the family's 1533-position model. The record is from RNAcentral.
GAUGAACGCUGGCGGCGUGCUUAACACAUGCAAGUCGAACGAAGCACUUUAAUCGAUUUCUUCGGAUUGAAAUUUUAGUGACUGAGUGGCGGACGGGUGAGUAACGCGUGGGUAACCUGCCUCACACAGGGGGAUAACAGUUGGAAACGGCUGCUAAUACCGCAUAAGCGCACAGUACCGCAUGGUACGGUGUGAAAAACUCCGGUGGUGUGAGAUGGACCCGCGUCUGAUUAGCUAGUUGGCAGGGUAACGGCCUACCAAGGCGACGAUCAGUAGCCGACCUGGGAGGGUGACCGGCCACAUUGGGACUGAGACACGGCCCAAACUCCUACGGGAGGCAGCAGUGGGGAAUAUUGCACAAUGGGGGAAACCCUGAUGCAGCGACGCCGCGUGAGCGAAGAGGUAUUUCGGUAUGUAAAGCUCUAUCAGCAGGGAAGAAGAAAUGACGGUACCUGACUAAGAAGCACCGGCUAAAUACGUGCCAGCCGCCGCAGUAA